CCCUUAGAUGUUCUGGGCCGCACGCGCGCUACACUGAUGCAUUCAACAAGCCAAGCCUUGACCGAGAGGUCCGGGUAAUCUUUGAAACUGCAUCGUGAUGGGGCUAGAUUAUUGCAAUUAUUAAUCUUCAACGAGGAAUGCCUAGUAAGCGUGAUUCAUCAAAUCGCGUUGAUUACGUCCCUGCCCUUUGUACACACCGCCCGUCGCUCCUACCGAUUGAAUGUGUUGGUGAGGAGCUCGGAUUGGCAGCAGUUGGUGGUUCGCCACCGGCUAUUGCUGAGAAGUCCUCCAAACCGCCCCAUUUAGAGGAAGGAGAANUCGUANCA
Molecule: ribosomal RNA, 326 nt
Filed under: uncultured eukaryote
Lineage: Eukaryota
Description: partial 18S ribosomal RNA
Rfam family: Eukaryotic small subunit ribosomal RNA
Source: RNAcentral